Molecule: ribosomal RNA, 252 nt
Filed under: uncultured prokaryote
Description: partial 16S ribosomal RNA
Rfam family: Bacterial small subunit ribosomal RNA
Source: RNAcentral
UACGGAGGAUGCAAGCGUUAUCCGGAUUUAUUGGGUUUAAAGGGUGCGUAGGCGGAUAUGUAAGUCAGCGGUGAAACUCACAGGCUCAACCUGUGCCGUGCCGUUGAAACUGUGUAUCUGGAAUGCGGACCCUGCUGUGGGAGGAAUGUGUAGUGUAGCGGUGAAAUGCAUAGAUAUUACACAGAACACCGAUUGCGAAGGCAUCUCACAAAGCCGUUAUUGACGCUGAGGCACGAAAGUGUGGGGAUCAAA